This is a long non-coding RNA of Suricata suricatta (meerkat), 1547 nucleotides long. RefSeq lists it as uncharacterized. Lineage: Eukaryota; Metazoa; Chordata; Mammalia; Carnivora; Herpestidae. The transcript is spliced from 2 exons. The record is from RefSeq and is a predicted model, not a curated record.
UCUCUGCUCAGCUCUGGUCCCCACAGAGUUAAAAUAGGUCUGACCUAAAUGCAAGCACAAUGCCAGUGCUGCAAAUACGCUGCGUCAGCGGAAACUCCAACUGGAUUCCAGCGGAGAGUCGGAGGAGGAGGCAGAGCGAGGAGGCGUGAGGUACGGAGAGGCAGAGAGCGAGGUGUAGCGUUGAAGAGAGCGACCUACAAAGACGGCAACAACCAGAUGGAGGGAAAUGCAUCGGGAGAAAACCGAGAUCCACGAGGCACCUGACAGUAGACAGAGGAGGCCGCUGUCCAUUUGUUCAUUCAUCCCAGAACGUUUGUACACUUGCUGGCCUGGGCACGGGGGACUGCCGGGCUCACCACCUCCCUUACCUGGGCUUGGAGGCGAGCGGGUGAAUAAACGGGAAGCAAAUAAUCACUCACCCAGCGUAAAAUCAACCGGACUGAGGACUCGGAGUGUCUAAGGGCUCUGGGGGCCUGGCCAGUGAGGUCCGGAAGGCUAAGACUACUGGAAGAGGGGCUGGCCACGGGACCGGGUGGGGAACAGGCAGGGCACUGGGUUCGGGACACUGUGCAAAGGCUGGCUUUCCUUCCACCAUGCAGAAGCUAAGAUCUGACUCUAAAGCCUGGGCAAACGCCUCCUUGGGGGGAAAGGGGUUUUGGAAGGCUGGUGAGGGGCCCCAGAGGGACCCUUCCUCUGGGGGUGAGGACCCCGGGUUCCCAGAAAAUCCCGGGGCAGGAGAGAAAUAUUUCAGUGAGCACUGAGGCCCUGGCCCAGUGGGCCUUUGGCAUGGGGGCCGGUGGGGGCCGUCCGGUCAGUUCCCUAUACCCCAUGGGGCCAGGAGCACAGCCUCAGAUGGAGGUGAACACCCCCUCAGGCUCAUUGCUGCACAUGUCACAGCUGCUGGCCCAGAGCCCCCAAGUUCAGGGUCUGGGUCUGCAUGAUCUCCAGUACAGACAGGGCGCACUGGUGUGCAGCCCGGGCCCUCCCAUCUCGGGGCCAGUCUGACCCGGGCAGAUGCCAGGCCUGUGACUGAGGAGCCAGCCCAAAGUGCCCUGUGGCAUAAGGGAUGUGGCAGUGAGCCAGUACUGCUUGGCUGAGUGUGGUUAAAUCAGAGGCGCAAGAGCUUGACGACCAGAGCUCCUUAAACUUGAACGUGUAUCCGAAGGGCCAGUGACUGUGUUCUGCAGGGCAAAGUCCUCGGCCGCUCUCCCGCCGGGCCAAUGCAUCUCCUGGAAGGGCCUGGACCUGCACCUUUAACAGGCACACGAGGCGAGGAAACUGAGGCCCAGGGUCCCCAAAGUCAGCAGUGAGCUGAGACAAAAGAUGCUCCCACGAGACCCUCAGCCGCUCGCCACACAUUAAAGUCUGUCUCGUCCAGAGUGAGAUGUGGCAUAAGUGUUAAAAUAGACACGGGGUAUCAGAGACGUCGUAUAAGGAAAAGAGCAUAAGACAUCUCAAUCUUUAAAAAUAUUAUCAGGCAUUCAAACGAAUACAAUUUGGACACGUUACACUGCAUAAAAGAUACCAUUAAAAUUAAUUUCACCUGU